Phyllostomus discolor (pale spear-nosed bat) is the source of this 1001-nucleotide long non-coding RNA. RefSeq lists it as uncharacterized. The transcript has 2 exons. Lineage: Eukaryota; Metazoa; Chordata; Mammalia; Chiroptera; Phyllostomidae. The record is from RefSeq and is a predicted model, not a curated record.
UUUGGUUUUUUUUUUUUUGCCGAGUCCCCCCGCUUGUGUAAAAUUAUGAGGGUUAGGUGACUUAUUAAAAGUGUCAUACAUUUUUAUCCUCUAGAUAAAUGUUUUGUUCCAGCUUGCUAUGGUAUCGCAUGGCCUUUACCCUUCCAUCAGAGACAGAUAAUGCUAGUUUUUGGAGACGUUAACUACUGACUUACACAGAGAUGGACAUUAUGUGCAGCUAAGUUUUAUAUAUAUUCAUAUCUUUAAACUGGUUCCUUUGAGAGGGCAAAUUAAAAGCUACUUAGAAUCCUCAGUUGCAGAAACAAUAUCAAAGGAAUGGUGGAGUGGGUUACAAUUUCCCACCAUUAACAAUUUUUCACUGUUACACAGACAGGAAAGCAAAAGAACAACAAAAACCUCUUACCCAAGAAAACUCAUUUUCAGGGGUGAGGUCCUUCAUCUCAGAUAGUGAUGUAAUAAAUAAAAUCCAGGGGUAAACUAAUAUGGUUAAUUAAUGGUUUGUUCAUUUGAGCAGUAUAGGUCAUAGCCAUUUCAAUAGGUAUGAUCAAAUAUUUCACAUUCUUCUAAAGUAAUUCAUUGUUCUUUCUGCAACUGUUUAAUCUUUCAUGAAUGCAAGCACGGAGUUUAGAUAGAUGUUGGACCCAACCCUGUGAGGGAUAGCUCCAUAUGGGUGUUUGUGUUAUGAAAGAAGCUGUAGCUGAUCCAGGUCAUGAGAAGUUUGCUCAGCAGUACAUCUUUUUCUAAAGACAGCAGGGCUGUAACCAUGUCCUGUCAAGAAUUAAAGAUUAGAAUUUCAGGUGUACUCCUCUUAAGCAGGGUUUCUUGUAUUACUGGAUUUCUUUCUUCUGUAAAUAGCUUUACUGAGAUAUAAUUCACAUACCAUAAUUUAACUAUACAAUUUAAACUACACAUUUAAACUAUACAAUUCAAUGUUUUUUUAGUAUAGUAACAGCUGUGCAACCAUCACUGUAGUCUUAAUUUUAGAGCAUUUUCAUCACCUC